Molecule: long non-coding RNA, 1366 nt
Organism: Marmota monax (woodchuck)
Lineage: Eukaryota; Metazoa; Chordata; Mammalia; Rodentia; Sciuridae
Exons: 3
Source: RefSeq, a predicted model, not a curated record
UCCUGGUUCCAUAGCAGUCUGCCAGGCCCAGACUAGAACUGGAACAUUGACUCUGUGGCAUCUGGAAUUGCCAUCCUUCAAAAAUUGUGUGAAGCGAUUAUUUUAUGAACUUGUGCCUCUGAAAGUACAGCCCAGCUACCCUGAAGCAGCCAUGCCAAAAACCCUCUGGAGAAGGGGAAAAAAAAAAAAAACAAAAAGGAAAAGAAAGAUGCCUGAGGAAGGAAGGACUCUGCUAGACUCUUACUUGACUCUUCCAAUUAUCAGCUUCCUGGCAUCCACAGUGCAGAUGAAUAAAAAUCUUGAAGAAAUCCCAUAGAAGACAUUCUAUCAUUAUUAACAAAACUACUCGCUUUUCUAGGAAUAUUUUAGUAAUAGGAUUUAUUCUUGGUUUAUGACUAUUGGAAGCUAUUGGAUCCAGAGAAAUCAAAAUGAUUUGGUGGCCUUUUCUGUCUUUGGAGGACAGACCAUCUUUACAAAAUUGGGGGCGCUUAACUAUUCUGCCUCCUCUUUUAACUCAGGAACUGGUGAGUUCCCAUUCCUGUAAGAACUUCAUUGAGCCAAUGUGCUGAAUGAACUCCAGGAGAACACAGAGAAAGGCCUUGCAAACAAAUAAGAGGGUAGGAGGAAUGGCCAAGAUUUGUGAGUUAUCUAUGUUUUGUAGAAACAAUGUAAAAUGUUGACAGGGUAAAACAAUUAUUGUGAUCCUUAGUUUUAAAAUGAAGAGGACUGAGUCUUAAGAACAGAAAUGACACUUUUAAUAAGAGAAGGUGGUGGGGAAAAAAAUAGAAUCAUAUUGUACUGUCUCAAAAAUGUCGUCUUCCAUUCAGCAGAAAAGUGGGAAAGGGUAGAUAACAGAUGAGAGGUGACAGAAGUUAUUGGAAAAAUGAGAUUGUUCUAUGUUUAUAUACCUAUGAGUAAAGACUCUUCAGUAAAAUUAUAAAUAAAUAAAUACUUACUCUCUUUUGCAAAAUCUCUUGCAAUUUGUCUCUUUGCCCAAAAAUUAAGUCAAAAGAGUGAUAUUAAUUGUAGUCUGGUGAAUGGGUUCUACUUCUUAAGAGGUUUUACUGGUCAUUGGUAUGGGGGGAUGGCAUCUUCAAUAUUUAGACUAAUUGCUUCCAUAACUCAAGAAUAAACUGAAACCUUGGAAAGGACAACAUGAACCUCUUUCGAAUGUAAGGAUAGCAAAAAUACAUUGAAAAGUAUGCAGGAGGAAAGAAGUCGAAUUUGUAAAUGCCAAGAGAUAUUAAGUAAACUUUACAGCUCAGCAUUUUGUGUGUGUGUGUGUAUGUGUGUGUGUGUUGCUAAGCAUUCUACUUUGAUAUAUCCAUAAAUUUACUCAUAAAUACUGCUUUGGGUAUGGGCACUG